AACGAACGCUGGCGGCGCGCCUAAUACAUGCAAGUCGAGCGAGAAGACGUAGCAAUACGUUUGUAAAGCGGCGAACGGGUGAGGAAUACACGGGUAACCUACCCUCGAGUGGGGAAUAACUAGCCGAAAGGUUAGCUAAUACCGCGUACGCUUCUUGGACUUCGGUUCAGGGAGGAAAGCGAUACCGUGGGUAUCGCGCUCUUGGAUGGGCUCAUGUCCUAUCAGCUUGUUGGGAGGUAACGGCUCACCAAGGCUUCGACGGGUAGCUGGUCUGAGAGGACGAUCAGCCACACUGGCACUGCGACACGGGCCAGACUCCUACGGGAGGCAGCAGUAAGGAAUAUUGCGCAAUGGGCGAAAGCCUGACGCAGCGACGCCGCGUGGGGGAUGAAGGUCUUCGGAUUGUAAACCCCUUUCGGG
RNAcentral lists this ribosomal RNA (420 nucleotides) under uncultured bacterium. Its description in RNAcentral is "bacterial SSU rRNA". It matches the Rfam family "Bacterial small subunit ribosomal RNA", at positions 29 to 440 of the family's 1533-position model. The record is from RNAcentral.